Molecule: non-coding RNA, 4074 nt
Organism: Anas platyrhynchos (mallard)
Lineage: Eukaryota; Metazoa; Chordata; Aves; Anseriformes; Anatidae
Source: RefSeq, a predicted model, not a curated record
AAAAGAUAAAUAAUAUGGUAUAUAUUCAAGUCACUGCAGAUGAAUUUUGGCACCUUGUAGUUAUCUAACUAGUUUCAGCUUGUGUCAUUUUCAUAUGAACAGUUUUGGAAAAAAUGAAAGUAACAUCAAAUCUUUGGCUAUAGGCAUAAAUAAUGGUGCUGCCCCUAUAUUACCUUAUUCUUACAAAAAAUACAACCAGGAUUAUAAAAAUGAGUUUUUAGCUCAAGUAUAUCCACUUGAUUGAGAAGACUGAUAACAAGACUGCUACAUGUUAGUAAAUAUAAACUAAUAAUAAAAGAUAAGAUUUAAAAGAUAAGUGUUCAUAUACAGAGAAAUGGUUGCAGAAUCUUCAUUCAACUCUAUCAUGGCAUCUUUAUUGUAUUAUCAUAUACAUUUAUUUCCAGGGGACCCUGGCUAUUUAGCGUACUCCCUACAUUUUGAAGAAAGGUAUGUGUUCAAACUGUUCAAUGUGUCUUCUUGCUCCCUGUGUUGAGUGGUAAGGAACUAAGAGAGUGAAAACUUUAUCAUUUGUUCAUCAGGGUUUCUAAUGGUAGUGCUACUAUUUGGAAGGUAGUACCUUCCAUUGUAAAUUAUUUGAAGAUGUUUUAAUAAAAUUUCAUGUGAUAUUAAUUGCAUGACACUUGACAGCACAAAGUGUUUGUAUUCUGAACUGAACCUUGUUUCAAUGAUCCACCAGCAAAUACCUCUGCAACCCUGGGACCAUGUUCCUGUUAAAUACUGGAAGUCUACACCUUCCUUUUUGCUUGUUUUGAGAAACUAGCAGUGUGAGUACACAGCAUACAGCAGGCCAAAACCCAGCAAACCCUGUCUUCAGAUAUUGGCUUAUAUGAACUGGCUGGAAGUAUUGGAAGUAUGACAUAAGAACACGUGGGCAUCUGACAUCUGGUUUUGCUGUGUACAAGUUUGUGUGUGUGUUUGUCUGUGGUGGUGCAGGUGCCAAGACAACCCUGUUGCAAUUUUGUUUGUACUGCCUAUAGGUUUACUUUGGAGUAAAUUAUCCCCAGGUUCACACUUGAAGUUUCCCUGAGAGAAAACUAGCUGUGACAGCUCAAAAGAGAGCCCAGGAGCAAACUGACAUACAAGCAGUGUGAACAGUCAAUGAACUGCAGAGUGAAAUGAAAUGGAGUGCUAAGUUGUUUGACAGCAUGCAUAGGUGACUUAGUUCACACGUACCUUGUCAACUGUUUCUGAAUGGCACUGAUGUCCUGAGGAGACAUACCCUGAAACACCAUUCUCAUAUCUUGAGUUACCUCUGCAAAGAUUCUGGCACAAAGACAUGUAAACCAUUUUCUUUUGCUUUUGAAGACAUUUUGAUGUCAAUAUCUUUAACUUGUCAUACAUUUAUUCACAGAAUAAAACAGAAUGGUUAGGGCUGUAAGGGACAUCUCUUGACUGUUCUAUUUUCAAUGCAUUUCUGAUACAACACCGAAAAAUUAAAUUACUAUUUUAUUUUGUUAUAAACAAAUAUUUCUACAACAAGGCCUUAUCUUCAAGGACUGCUCUUCAUAUGUGUGUGAUAUAAAAAAUUUCAAAGUUACUCUUGAUAAUUUCUAUUAUCUCUAUUCUAUUUUAAAUAUGUCUGUUAAUAAUUUUUCACUUUAACCAAAAUAUCCCACUGCGGUCUAAUUUUACCCAGCUACUAGAAAACUGUAUUUCUUUCUCUACAUUUACCUUCUCUAAAUUUCUGUGAGAUAUUUUACUUCAGUAAAAAAAAUAAUAAAAUCCAGUAAAAGUAGUAGAUAAUAUUCAUCUAGUAGAUAAUUCAUCUUGUAUUGUCUAGUCUGUAACUGUCUUUUAAACAGAUUCAUUUUCUUGGUUCACUCUUGUCCUGGUUUCAGUUAGAACCAUGACAACUCUGUAGACAUCAGACAGAAAAAAUAAAACUCAGGGAGCUUUUGAGAACUUGCUUUCUUUCCUUUUUUAAUUUCUAUAACCAGGAACAAACAAACAAACAAACAAAAAACACAACAAAACAAACAAACCCCACAACACCUGCAUAUCUAUAACAAAUUUGAUUUGAAGCAUUCUCUUGUUUUGGAAAGGCCUGACAUUUCAAACUCUGCUGUUUAAAAUACUACUGGAUGAACAUUGUCUAGCAGUAGAAUAUAGACUUUCAGCUGCUUGAAUAAAGUAUUAUAGGUAGCGAGAAUCACAUUGAACGGUUAAAAUGAGCUUUAAGCAGAAGUUAAACUCCUAAACUCAAAACAGCAGUUCAGAAAGCCACUAUUAGCACUACUUCACAAUCUUUCAGACUAUGAAAUUUGAGGUGAUCCUCAGUCUCUGGGACACUGCUUGAGGAGUGGGAGGAUUUUGUCCAGAACAGUCAGGAGAGAGUCUAACCCCUAAAUUUCCAAAGUUUCCAAAUUUCCAAUUCCCUUUCUUCAUACAUGUUUUUUGUUUCAGUGUCUUUCUGAUAUGAAAUGAACAAACUCCAAAUUCAGACUGUACCCCAUGUACUUUGUCUACUACACUACAGAAAUUGCAUGCUCUUCUUCAGGCCUGUGAACUUCUGCAUAUAUGACUGAACUGUAUCUGAACUUCAAUAGGAAGGGUAGAUCUGAGAAGCUGAUUUUAAUAUCUCCAGCCUACUCCCUGCUGAAUGAUUUGACUUACAUGAAGAAAUUGUUACAGAUGUCAUGUUUUGAGGAUGGCUGAUCCUGUGCUUGGAAGCCAGAUGGAAAGUACUAACAUUUGGGACAGUCUUACCUGAUUUAAACCUCAGGUAAAAAUAAAUAUAUCCAGGCUGGAUGAAGACAAUUCCAUCAAUAUUAAUCAAAUCAAGAUAAUGAAUCUUUCCAUGAGUUGGACUCAAUGACCCUUGUGGGUCUCUUCCAACGUGGGAUAUUCUAUGAUUUUAUUGAGUUUCCACAUCCUUAUUGAUGUUGCCUCACUCAAUACUGUUUUCAAUUACAUGAAUGCUGGCUAUGUUUUCCAAAGGAUUCCUGUCUUGUUCAUUGCAGAGGAUUGUUCAAUAUAUGGCCCAUGUCUUAUUCAGUUCACACUAGCAAAAUUCUGCUGUGAACAGCUCAUGCCAAACAGGUGAAACAGCAGAGCGAACACCAAGGACAGAGACGGAGGAGGAGGAAGUACUCCAGGCACUCCAGAUGUGCACACUGGAGCCUGUGCAGGACCCCAUGCUGGAGUAUGUGAAUAUUUCCUGAAGAAAAUGUGGCCUGUGGAGAGCAGGGGAAAAGCAUGAGUGGGAAGGACAGGCAGAGAGAAACUGUUAUACACUGACCAUAACCCCUUGUCACUGUGCACCACUCAGAGGUGUGAUACAGCGUGCCCCACCUGGUGCCUGGUGUGAAUGAGAUGUCUAGACUGUGAGAGUGGGGAGGAAAGAUGUUUUUAUGUUCUUGUUUCUCGCUACCCAAAUCUAUUUUAAUUAGCGAUAAAUUAAAUUAAUUUUUCCCAAGUCAAAUUUGUUUUUCCUGAGAUGGUAAUUGGUAAGCAAGCUCCCUGACUUUGUCUCAAUCCAUCAGGUUUUUCAUCCUAUAUUCUCCCCCUGUCCUCUUGAGGAUGGACAGUGAGCAAGCAGCCAGGUGGCUCACCUCAGAACACUGUCUUCAGUAUCUCAGUCUUUCUUUGUGGAAAUAUCCUUCCUCAUUCUCUCUCAUACCUUCUGCUUAUUUGUUGAGAACUUCUGCAUCAGUAAUCAGAAAAGAAGAGCAAGGAGUACCCCAUAUGAAAAUCACUCAGGAGACCAAUUGUCUGAAGUCAGCAGGGGUUGAGCAAAGCAUAAAUAACAAUUUGUUAAUCCUUAAUCCUUUCUUCCCCUCCCCUCCCUCAAACUCCUGCCAUAGUGGGUGUGUUCUGCCUCUCAACUAACGCUGCACAACAAGGCAGCAUCAGUUAACCUUUUCAGGCAUGCUGCAGCAUUUGCAAAUUUUGUAAAAUAUUGUUCCCAGCGCAGUCCUGUGUAUCCUCAUGUCCUGGUUUCAGUUAGCACAGAAUUAAUUUUCUUCCUAGUAGCUGGUGGAAUGCUGUGUUUUGGCUUAGGAUGAGAAGAGUGCUGAUAACACCCCGAUGCUUUAAUUGUUGCAGAGCAGUGCU